UACGGAGGGUGCAAGCGUUAUCCGGAAUCACUGGGUUUAAAGGGUGCGUAGGCGGCUAUUUAAGUAGGGUGUGAAAGCCCCCGGCUCAACCGGGGAAUUGCGCCCUAAACUGGGUAGCUGGAGUGGGAUAGGGGUGUGUGGAACUUCCGGUGGAGCGGUGAAAUGUGUUGAUAUCGGAAGGAACGCCGGUGGCGAAAGCGACACACUGGGUCUCAACUGACGCUGAGGCACGAAAGCCAGGGUAGCGAACGGG
This 253-nucleotide ribosomal RNA is filed under the name uncultured bacterium. Its description in RNAcentral is "partial 16S ribosomal RNA". It matches the Rfam family "Bacterial small subunit ribosomal RNA", at positions 524 to 776 of the family's 1533-position model. The record is from RNAcentral.